This 208-nucleotide ribosomal RNA is filed under the name uncultured bacterium. RNAcentral describes it as "partial 16S ribosomal RNA". It matches the Rfam family "Bacterial small subunit ribosomal RNA", at positions 568 to 774 of the family's 1533-position model. The record is from RNAcentral.
UGCGUAGGCGGGAGCCUAAGUCUGUGGUGAAAUCUUGCCGCUUAACGGUAAAAUUGCCAUGGAUACUGGGUUUCUUGAGUACAGAAGAGGUCGGUGGGAAUUCGUAGUGUAGCGGUGAAAUGCAUAGAUAUUACGAAGAACAUCAGUGGCGAAGGCGGCCGGCUGGACUGUAACUGACGCUGAGGCACGAAAGCGUGGGGAGCGAACA